Brachypodium distachyon (stiff brome) is the source of this 125-nucleotide non-coding RNA. The record is from Rfam. Lineage: Eukaryota; Viridiplantae; Streptophyta; Magnoliopsida; Poales; Poaceae.
AUAGUACUCCCUUCGAUCCAUAUUACUUGUUUCAAAUUUGCCCAAAUAUGGAUGUAUCUAUGUUUAAAAAACAUCUAGAUACAUGUAAUAUUUUGACAAUUAAUAUGGAUCGAAGGGAGUAGUUU